GUAUGUACAUUCAAAUUAACUAAUUCAAAUAAAUAAUUUACUUGAAAAUUACUAAUAAAUCCUAAACUUUUUAUAUUUUAAAUAUAUACUUGUAAGUGGCUAACUUAAUCUAAAUAAUAAACUGCACCUUGACUUGAAUUUUACAAAUAAAUUGGAAAGACAAAAAAGCUAAAAAUUAUCUUAACAGAGGUAUACAAGAUAAAAUAUUAAGAAAAAUUAAACGCGGACUAUCGAUUAAAAAACAAGCCCCUCUAAAAAGCAAUUGAACCGCCAAAAACUUUGGGUUUAAAGUGAAACUUCUAAUACCCUUAGAUAUAAUAAAAGGGUAUCUAAUCCUAAUUUAUUUUAUAAUUUAAAAGAAAAACAAAAAAAAGAAAUAAAAAUAGAAUUUCACCUCAAUUUUUAAUUUAAAAUAAAACAAAACUUUUCUUUUAAGAAAAUCUUAAAAAGAUAAUCGUAUA
RNAcentral lists this ribosomal RNA (461 nucleotides) under Sperchon mutilus. Its description in RNAcentral is "partial small subunit ribosomal RNA". Lineage: Eukaryota; Metazoa; Arthropoda; Arachnida; Trombidiformes; Sperchontidae. The record is from RNAcentral.